Molecule: ribosomal RNA, 301 nt
Filed under: uncultured bacterium
Lineage: Bacteria
Description: partial 16S ribosomal RNA
Rfam family: Bacterial small subunit ribosomal RNA
Source: RNAcentral
CAGCAGCCGCGGGAACACGUAGGUGGCAAGCGUUAAUCGGAAUUACUGGGCGUAAAGCGUGCGCAGGCGGUUUUGUAAGACAGGCGUGAAAUCCCCGGGCUCAACCUGGGAAUGGCGCUUGUGACUGCAAAGCUAGAGUGCGGCAGAGGGGGAUGGAAUUCCGCGUGUAGCAGUGAAAUGCGUAGAUAUGCGGAGGAACACCGAUGGCGAAGGCAAUCCCCUGGGCCUGCACUGACGCUCAUGCACGAAAGCGUGGGGAGCAAACAGGAUUAGAGACCCCAGUAGUCCCUGUCUCUUAUAC